Molecule: ribosomal RNA, 446 nt
Filed under: uncultured bacterium
Lineage: Bacteria
Description: partial 16S ribosomal RNA
Rfam family: Bacterial small subunit ribosomal RNA
Source: RNAcentral
CCUACGGGUGGCAGCAGUCGAGAAUCAUUCACAAUGGGGGAAACCCUGAUGGUGCGACGCCGCGUGGGGGAAUGAAGGUCUUCGGAUUGUAAACCCCUGUCAUGUGGGAGCAAAUUAAAAAGAUAGUACCACAAGAGGAAGAGACGGCUAACUCUGUGCCAGCAGCCGCGGUAAUACAGAGGUCUCAAGUGUUGUACGGAAUCACUGGGCGUAAAGCGUGCAUAGGCUGUUUCGUAAGUCGGGUGUGAAAGGCGCGGGCUCAACCCGCGGACGGCAUAUGAUACUGCGAGACUAGAGUAAAGAAGGGGGGACCGGAAUUCUAGGUGUAGCAGUGAAAUGCGUAGAUAUAGGGAGGAACACUCGUGGCGAAGGCGGGUUCCUGGACAUUAACUGACGCUGAGGCACGAAGGCCAGGGGAGCGAAAGGGAUUAGAUACCCUAGUAGUC